Molecule: ribosomal RNA, 498 nt
Filed under: uncultured Scutellospora
Lineage: Eukaryota; Fungi; Glomeromycota; Glomeromycetes; Diversisporales; Gigasporaceae
Description: SSU rRNA
Rfam family: Eukaryotic small subunit ribosomal RNA
Source: RNAcentral
CCAAUAGCGUAUAUUAAAGUUGUUGCAGUUAAAAAGCUCGUAGUUGAAUUUCGGGAUUCUACCGUUGGUCGGGCUAACAAGUCUGUACUGGUGUGUAGAAUUUCUACCUUCUGGGGAACUAUCAUGUUAUUAAUUUAGCGUGGUGGGAAACCAGGACCUUUACCUUGAAAAAAUUAGAGUGUUCAAAGCAGGCUUACGUCUGAAUACAUUAGCAUGGAAUAAUAGAAUAGGACGGUGGUCCUGUUUUGUUGGUUUCUGAAUCACCGUAAUGAUUAAUAGGGAUAGUUGGGGGCAUUAGCAUUAAAUUGUCAGAGGUGAAAUUCUUGGAUUUAUUGAAGACUAACUUCUGCGAAAGCAUUUGCCAAGGAUGUUUUCAUUAAUCAAGAACGAAAGUUAGGGGAUCGAAGACGAUCAGAUACCGUCGUAGUCUUAACCAUAAACUAUGCCGACUAGGGUUCGGACGAUGUUAAAUUUUAUUGACUCGUUCGGCGCCUUACG